RNAcentral lists this ribosomal RNA (912 nucleotides) under uncultured marine archaeon. RNAcentral's name for it is "bacterial SSU rRNA". It matches the Rfam family "Archaeal small subunit ribosomal RNA", at positions 5 to 921 of the family's 1478-position model. The record is from RNAcentral.
UGGUUGAUCCCGCCGGAGGCUACCGCUAUUGGAGUUCGAUUAAGCCAUGCGAGUCGAGAGUCUUCAAGGACUCGGCGUACCGCUCAGUAACACGUGGGUAACCUGCCCUAUGCUGGGGAAUAACCUCGGGAAACUGAGAAUAAUGCCCCAUAGCCCACUACGCCUGGAACGGUGAGUGGGUCAAAGCUCCGGCGGCAUAGGAUGGGCCUGCGCCGUAUCAGGUUGUAGGGGGUGUAAAGUACCCUCUAGCCAUCAACGCGUACGGGUGUUGGGAGACAUUGCCCGGAGAUGGAUUCUGAGACACGAAUCCAGACCCUACGGGGUGCAGCAGGCGCGAAAACUUGGCAAUGCGAGCAAUCGUGACCAGGGAACUCCAAGUGCAUCGGGUAAGACCGAUGCUUUUCUUGACUCUUCAAAGGUCUUGGAAUAAGGGGUGGGUAAGGACGGUGCCAGCCGCCGCGGUAAUACCGGCGACUCAAGUGGUAGUCGCUUUUAUUGGGCCUAAAACGUCCGUAGCCGGUUUGGUACAUUCGUGGGUAAAUCAAGGCGCUCAACGUCUUGAAUUCUGCGAGCACGGCCAGACUUGGGACCGGGUGAGGUGUGGGGUACUCUCAGGGUAGGGGUAAAAUCCUGUCAUCCUGAGAGGACCACCUGUUGCGAAGGCGCCACACUAGAACGGAUCCGACGGUCAGGGACGAAGCCUAGGGGCACGAACCGGAUUAGAUACCCGGGUAGUCCUAGGUGUAAACGCUGUGGACUUGAUGUUGGGAGUGCUCCGAGCACCCUCAGUGUCGAAGCGAAGGUGAUAAGUCCACUGCCUGGGGAGUACGGUCGCAAGGCUGAAACUUAAAGGAAUUGGCGGGGGAGCACUGCAACCUGAGGAUUGUGCGGUUUAAUUGGAGUCAACGCCGG